Molecule: long non-coding RNA, 1465 nt
Organism: Brassica oleracea var. oleracea
Lineage: Eukaryota; Viridiplantae; Streptophyta; Magnoliopsida; Brassicales; Brassicaceae
Exons: 7
Source: RefSeq, a predicted model, not a curated record
ACAAAACUGUAUACCUCAUUGUUUUUGACAUGCUCCCACCAACCUCCAUGACAAAUUGAGUCUCCUAGGUGUUGAGAAGGUCUACUCUUCCUAUAUGCUACAUCAAGCACCCAUUUAUAUGUUGAUCAAGAGUGUCUAGCCAGCAAGAUCUUCCUGGAAGCGGAACGCGUCAGAGAUGGCGGGUCUUCCUCAACCUCCACCAAGUAUAAAGGUGUCCAGAAACUAAUUUAUGUGAUCACCUGAAAUCCCAACUAAUAAAAGUUUAAUUAAUAAGACUUAGCUCUGUUGUUUCUAACAUAAAAACCAAUAAUGAUGUGUUUUCUCUUCUUUAUAUAUCCUACAUGCUUAUAACUGAUAUUAACGGGUUUAUGAGUUUGGAUUUUCAAAACUAGGAUGAGAAUGAGAAAGCAAACCUUCCAUGAGUUUCAGAGAUAAAAAGGAAUAGUUUGUAUUAAGAUACAACCCCGCACAAAUCAUGGACGCAUCUGUUGAAGACACAGAUGCUAGACCACUGCCACAGAACUUAAAGGAUUUAGUAGGCAGAACCUACACUUUCAAGUUAAAGCUGUUUGAAUUUCAACUUCUCUUCUAAACAUCAGUCUUUUACGAUAGCAAGAAUCUUUGAUGACAAUGAACGUCAGCCCCUGACAAACUUUCCGGAACAUAGAGGAACCAUCGCGCCGGAGCUGUGAGAACUAAGGCUUAUCAUGGUGCGACCAGAGAAGCCCCUAAGACCAACAGUGGGAUUGAUGUUGUUGGGAUGGUUGAAUGAACUGCAGCUGCCACUCCACCUUUACCUGCUCACAUGGAAUUAAUGCUGACAUGAUUCCUCUUCCUGAAGAGGUGUGCGCUGGGAAUUCCAUUGACUAACAAUCCAUUAUGCAGGCCGGUUAUUUCUCACCGUAACAUCUGGAUCACAUAUCUACUUUCACUAUAAUACAGAUGUUGGAAAAGAAUACUAUGAAAAGUUGGUUGGGGGUACCACAAACUAGACUGUCUCUUCAUCUAAGCUUCUUCAUGCACAGAAAAUAGAACCUCUCAUCGUUCUGAGCUCAACCUUAUCACAUCUGAACCUCAGAUAAUUGAGUUCCUCUGUACGCUAAAGUUACUGGAAUUCAGACAGAGAAAUGAUGGCGUUAUAUUGGUUGCUCAAAAUGUUCGAAGAAGCUCCAGCGAGAAGGCAGAGAUAUUCUGUAAUCUGAGGACAAGCAAGUAACAGCUUAGCUCUGCCCGGAAUUAACUUUCAUAGAAAAUAACAAAAUUAUACCAUCCUGACUAUCUUUCCAUACUUCACAGGCCAGAAAUCUAAAACAGAUACGCACAUAGCUACGAAAUGUUGUCUCUGAGACCCCGCAAAUGUUUGAGACAAACGACUGUUAUUAGUUUAUUUCACUAUGUAUCUCUACAGACUCAGGUUUGUAUUGACAAGCUUUUUCAUGAGAAGAACAAUAUGCAUUUACAAAAC